ACCUGUGUAGAAUUUGCAUGAUUUGUCACUUCUGAGAACAUCAUCCAUGAAUACUUGUCUGUAAUAUAAUCAAUGGAUAUACCUUCAUUAUCAACAUUUGUAUCUUGCUCUUCAGAACCCUCAGUUAUUUCAUUUUCCUUAUCAAU
Haliotis rubra (blacklip abalone) is the source of this 146-nucleotide long non-coding RNA. RefSeq lists it as uncharacterized. NCBI's taxonomy places the organism in Eukaryota, Metazoa, Mollusca, Gastropoda, Lepetellida, Haliotidae. The transcript has 2 exons. The record is from RefSeq and is a predicted model, not a curated record.